GACGAACGCUGGCGGCGUGCUUAACACAUGCAAGUCGAACGGAAAGGCCUGCUUUCCCUUGUGGAUUGCGGGUACUCGAGUGGCGAACGGGUGAGUAACACGUGAGUGAUCUGCCCCCAACUUGGGUAUAAGCCUGGGAAACUGGGUCUAAUUCCCGAUAGGACUGCAGGGUGGUGCCUGUGGUGGAAAACGAUUUUCUAGUGGUUGGGGAUGAGCUCGCGGCCUAUCAGCUUGUUGGUGGGGUAAUGGCCUACCAAGGCGGCGACGGGUAGCCGGCCUGAGAGGGUGGACGGCCACAUUGGGACUGAGAUACGGCCCAGACUCCUACGGGAAGCAGCAGUGGGGAAUAUUGCACAAUGGGCGGAAGCCUGAUGCAGCGACGCCGCGUGGGGGAUGACGGCCUUCGGGUUGUAAACUCCUUUCGACCGCGAGGAAGCCACCUGGUUGGAAGGGUGGUGACGGUAGUGGUAGAAGAAGCACCGGCUAACUACGUG
Molecule: ribosomal RNA, 494 nt
Filed under: uncultured bacterium
Lineage: Bacteria
Description: partial 16S ribosomal RNA
Rfam family: Bacterial small subunit ribosomal RNA
Source: RNAcentral